Molecule: ribosomal RNA, 429 nt
Filed under: Bacteroidota bacterium
Lineage: Bacteria; Pseudomonadati; Bacteroidota
Description: Bacteroidetes bacterium partial 16S ribosomal RNA
Rfam family: Bacterial small subunit ribosomal RNA
Source: RNAcentral
UAGGGAAUCUUCCGCAAUGGACGCAAGUCUGACGGAGCAACGCCGCGUGAGUGAAGAAGGAUUUCGGUUCGUAAAACUCUGUUGUUAGAGAAGAACAGCGCAUAGAGUAACUGUUAUGCGUGUGACGGUAUCUAACCAGAAAGCCACGGCUAACUACGUGCCAGCAGCCGCGGUAAUACGUAGGUGGCAAGCGUUGUCCGGAUUUAUUGGGCGUAAAGCGAGCGCAGGCGGUCAAUUAAGUCUGAUGUGAAAGCCCCCGGCUCAACCGGGGAGGGUCAUUGGAAACUGGUUGACUUGAGUGCAGAAGAGGAGAGUGGAAUUCCAUGUGUAGCGGUGAAAUGCGUAGAUAUAUGGAGGAACACCGGUGGCGAAAGCGGCUCUCUGGUCUGUAACUGACGCUGAGGCUCGAAAGCGUGGGGAGCAAACAGG